GCUGUUUCAUUUAAAAUUUAAUUAGAAUUUUAUUUUUUAGUUAAAAAGCUAAAAUAUAUUCAAAAGACGAGAAGACCCUAUAAAUCUUGAUUAUUUAAUAAUUUUUAGUUUAUUUUGAUUUUUUUUGUUAUAAAUUUAUUAAUUAAUUUUAUUGGGGUGAUAUUAAAAUUUAAAUAACUUUUAAUAAUUUUUAUCAUUUAUUUAUGAUUAAGUGAUCCAUUAUUAGUGAUUAAAAAAUUAAGUUACUUUAGGGAUAACAGCGUAAUUUUUUUGGAGAGUUCUUAUCGAUAAAAAAGUUUGCGACCUCGAUGUUGGAUUAAGAUUCAUAUUUAAAUGUAGAAGUUUAAAUAUAAAGUCUGUUCGACUUUUUAUUCUUACAUGAUCUGAGUUCAAACCGGUGUAAGCCAGGUUGGUUUCUAUCUUUGAUUUAGUAAAAUAUUUUAGUACGAAAGGAAUUAAUAUUUAUUUUUUAAAAAUUAAUUUAUGAAUAAAUUUAAUUACUAU
Molecule: ribosomal RNA, 504 nt
Filed under: Teleopsis dalmanni
Lineage: Eukaryota; Metazoa; Arthropoda; Insecta; Diptera; Diopsidae
Description: partial 16S ribosomal RNA
Rfam family: Bacterial large subunit ribosomal RNA (bases 253-411)
Source: RNAcentral